Long non-coding RNA from Mus musculus (house mouse), 809 nucleotides. RefSeq annotates it as predicted gene, 21679. The transcript has 11 exons. NCBI's taxonomy places the organism in Eukaryota, Metazoa, Chordata, Mammalia, Rodentia, Muridae. The record is from RefSeq and is marked validated.
GAGGACCGUAUUCAUGGAAGAGGAUCGAACAGUAAAGAGCCCAGCAUUUGAUAAAAAUGAGAAUAUAUCGCCUCAAGCAGAAGCAGAUGAAGAUAUGGGAGAUGAAGUAGACAGUAUGUUGGAUAAAUCUGAAGUAAACAACCCAGCAAUUGGUAAAGAUGAAAAUAUAUCGCCUCAAGUAAAAGGACAUGAAGACAGGGGACAUGAAAUAGGCAGUAUGUUGGAUAAAUCUGGAGGUCUCUGCUAAGAAAAACUGAGAACUUCACUGUAAGUGCAAGAGUUUGAACAGACUGGCUCCUAGCAGAAAUCAGGAAGGCCAAGGAAAUGGAGACCCUGAAAGUAUUCUUGGGGCCUGGGGAUGUGAGGUAUGACAUUUAUAAGACGCUUCACAUAAAGAGAAAAUGGAUGGAAACUUAUGUCAAAGAAUCUUUCAAAGGCAGGAACCAGAAAUUAGAAAGAUUUUGCAAAAUGAACGAACGAGAGAGGAAGAACAUCAACAACAAAUUUUGUGAGCAGUAUAUAACUACAUUUCAGAAGUCUUAUAUGGAUGUACAGAAAUUCAAUGAGGAAAAAGAAAAAUCAGUGAAUAGUUGUCAAAAAGAACAACAAGCAUUGAAACUGUCCAAAUGUAGUCAGAACCAGACCCUGGAAGCAGCUACUGCUACAAACACACCAGUAGUGACCCACCUGACUGGUCGAAAAGCCUAGACAUGGUCCCGAGGCGAAAACUUCACGGAAACUCCUGUAUUCAUGCUGCAUCAUUGGACUCAAACUGAAUGGUCCAUGUGUUGCCACUGAUGUGAGCCAUU